AGAAUAAUGCCAGCAGUCGGUCAGCGUGUAGCAGAGACCCACCCUGGUGUUAUUAGGA
Molecule: microRNA precursor, 58 nt
Organism: Gadus morhua (Atlantic cod)
Lineage: Eukaryota; Metazoa; Chordata; Actinopteri; Gadiformes; Gadidae
Source: Ensembl